AACCUAGCACACCUGCGGUGUGUACCUGCGGAAGGAUCAUUACCGAGUGUGGUCCCAUAUAAGGGGCGCCUCCCGUCCUUUGCAGGGCCUUUAGGGGCUUUUUGACUUUGCUUCGGCGGGCUUGCCCCGCCGGAACACCCUCAAGAAAAUCUUUAUGAACCGUUUGUCUGAGUUGCUUGCGAAUAAAAACAAAACUUUCAGCAACGGAUCU
Molecule: unclassified non-coding RNA, 211 nt
Filed under: soil metagenome
Description: partial contains 5.8S ribosomal RNA, internal transcribed spacer 2, and large subunit ribosomal RNA
Source: RNAcentral